GUGCUCACUCUGGCAGCACAUAUACUAAAAUUGGGAAGUUACAGACAAUAUCAACAUGGUCCCUGUGCAAGAAUGACAUGUGAAUUCAUGAAGUGAUCCAUAUUUUA
Small nuclear RNA from Sorex araneus (European shrew), 107 nucleotides. The record is from Ensembl. Lineage: Eukaryota; Metazoa; Chordata; Mammalia; Eulipotyphla; Soricidae.